RNAcentral lists this ribosomal RNA (2118 nucleotides) under Vibrio cholerae. RNAcentral describes it as "partial 23S ribosomal RNA". It matches the Rfam family "Bacterial large subunit ribosomal RNA", at positions 710 to 2815 of the family's 2925-position model. The record is from RNAcentral. Lineage: Bacteria; Pseudomonadati; Pseudomonadota; Gammaproteobacteria; Vibrionales; Vibrionaceae.
UAGACCCGAAACCGGGUGAUCUAGCCAUGGGCAGGUUGAAGGUUGAGUAACAUCAACUGGAGGACCGAACCGACUAAUGUUGAAAAAUUAGCGGAUGACUUGUGGCUAGGGGUGAAAGGCCAAUCAAACUCGGAGAUAGCUGGUUCUCCCCGAAAGCUAUUUAGGUAGCGCCUCGGACGAAUACUACUGGGGGUAGAGCACUGUUAAGGCUAGGGGGUCAUCCCGACUUACCAACCCUUUGCAAACUCCGAAUACCAGUAAGUACUAUCCGGGAGACACACGGCGGGUGCUAACGUCCGUCGUGGAGAGGGAAACAACCCAGACCGCCAGCUAAGGUCCCAAAGUAUUGCUAAGUGGGAAACGAUGUGGGAAGGCUCAGACAGCUAGGAUGUUGGCUUAGAAGCAGCCAUCAUUUAAAGAAAGCGUAAUAGCUCACUAGUCGAGUCGGCCUGCGCGGAAGAUGUAACGGGGCUAAGCAAUACACCGAAGCUGCGGCAAUAUCUUUUAGAUAUUGGGUAGGGGAGCGUUCUGUAAGCCGUUGAAGGUGAAUCGUAAGGUUUGCUGGAGGUAUCAGAAGUGCGAAUGCUGACAUGAGUAACGACAAAGGGGGUGAAAAACCUCCUCGCCGGAAGACCAAGGGUUCCUGUCCAACGUUAAUCGGGGCAGGGUGAGUCGACCCCUAAGGUGAGGCCGAAAGGCGUAAUCGAUGGGAAACGGGUUAAUAUUCCCGUACUUCUGACUAUUGCGAUGGGGGGACGGAGAAGGCUAGGUGGGCCAGGCGACGGUUGUCCUGGUUCAAGUGCGUAGGCUUGAGAGUUAGGUAAAUCCGGCUCUCUCUAAGGUUGAGACACGACGUCGAGCUGCUACGGCAGUGAAGUCAUUGAUGCCAUGCUUCCAGGAAAAGCCUCUAAGCUUCAGAUAGUCAGGAAUCGUACCCCAAACCGACACAGGUGGUCGGGUAGAGAAUACCAAGGCGCUUGAGAGAACUCGGGUGAAGGAACUAGGCAAAAUGGUACCGUAACUUCGGGAGAAGGUACGCUCUUGAUGGUGAAGUCCCUCGCGGAUGGAGCUGACGAGAGUCGCAGAUACCAGGUGGCUGCAACUGUUUAUUAAAAACACAGCACUGUGCAAAAUCGCAAGAUGACGUAUACGGUGUGACGCCUGCCCGGUGCCGGAAGGUUAAUUGAUGGGGUUAGCGCAAGCGAAGCUCUUGAUCGAAGCCCCGGUAAACGGCGGCCGUAACUAUAACGGUCCUAAGGUAGCGAAAUUCCUUGUCGGGUAAGUUCCGACCUGCACGAAUGGCGUAAUGAUGGCCACGCUGUCUCCACCCGAGACUCAGUGAAAUUGAAAUCGCUGUGAAGAUGCAGUGUACCCGCGGCUAGACGGAAAGACCCCGUGAACCUUUACUACAGCUUGGCACUGAACAUUGAACCUACAUGUGUAGGAUAGGUGGGAGGCUAUGAAGACGUGACGCCAGUUGCGUUGGAGCCGUCCUUGAAAUACCACCCUUGUAUGUUUGAUGUUCUAACUUAGACCCAUUAUCUGGGUUGAGGACAGUGCCUGGUGGGUAGUUUGACUGGGGCGGUCUCCUCCCAAAGAGUAACGGAGGAGCACGAAGGUGGGCUAAUCACGGUUGGACAUCGUGAGGUUAGUGCAAUGGCAUAAGCCCGCUUAACUGCGAGAAUGACGGUUCGAGCAGGUGCGAAAGCAGGUCAUAGUGAUCCGGUGGUUCUGUAUGGAAGGGCCAUCGCUCAACGGAUAAAAGGUACUCCGGGGAUAACAGGCUGAUACCGCCCAAGAGUUCAUAUCGACGGCGGUGUUUGGCACCUCGAUGUCGGCUCAUCACAUCCUGGGGCUGAAGUCGGUCCCAAGGGUAUGGCUGUUCGCCAUUUAAAGUGGUACGCGAGCUGGGUUUAGAACGUCGUGAGACAGUUCGGUCCCUAUCUGCCGUGGGCGUUGGAAGAUUGAAGGGGGCUGCUCCUAGUACGAGAGGACCGGAGUGGACGAACCUCUGGUGUUCGGGUUGUGUCGCCAGACGCAUUGCCCGGUAGCUAAGUUCGGAAUUGAUAAGCGCUGAAAGCAUCUAAGCGCGAAGCGAGCCCUGAGAUGAGUCUUCCC